UGAUAUGCUSGUCUCAAAGAUUAAGCCAUGCAUGUGUAAGUACACGCCGUAUCAAGGCUAGACCGCGAACGGCUCAUUAAAUCAGUUAUGAUUUACAGGAUGUGAAUCCGAAUUACUUGGAUAACCCUGGUAAUUCUAGAGCUAAUACAUGAAAACCCACACUUUCCGACCGCAAGGGAGGAAUGCUUUGAUUAGAUGAAAAACCAACCGGGCUUCGGUCCGCAAACUACUGCUAUGUUGAAUCUGAAUGACUUUGUGCUGAGAGCACGGCCUCCGCGCCGGCUCCGUAUCUUUCGAGUUUCUGCCUUAUCAUGCUAGAUUGUAGGCUACGCGCCUACUGUGGCUGCCACGGGUAACGGAGAAUCAGGGUUCGAUUCCGGAGAGGGAGCCUGAGAAACGGCUACCACAUCCAAGGAAGGCAGCAGGCACGCAAAUUACCCAAUCCCAGCCCGGGGAGGUAGUGACGAAAAAUAACGAUGCGGUACUCUUCGGAGUAUGCGUAAUUGGAAUGAGUACACUUUAAAUCCUAUAGCAACAACCGAUUGGAGGGCAAGUCUGGUGCCAGCAGCCGCGGUAAUUCCAGCUCCAAUAGCGUAUAUUAAAGUUGUUGCGGUUAAAAAGCUCGUAGUCAGAGCUUUCCUCCGGAGUGGUCGGGUAGGUGGCCGCCCGGCCGUCUACUCCGUAAACUCCGGUAUGCUUCCUCGCCCAGAGGGAGCGCCAGCCGGUUUCGGGCGGGGUGCUCUUCACCGAGUGUCCCGCGCGACCGGCCGUUUUACCUUGAAUAAAUGAGAGUGCUCAAAGCAGGCUACUCUUAAAAAUAAAGCCCGAAUGAUAACCGCAUGGAAUAAUGGAAGAUGAGCUCGGUUCCAUUUUGGUUCUUGUGUUAUGGAACCCGAGUUAAUGAUGAAGCGGGACAGACGGGGGCAUCCGUACUACGACGCGAGAGGUGAAAUUCUGUGACCGUCGUAGGACGAACAACAGCGAAAGCAUUUGCCAAGAAUGUUUUCCUUGAUCAAGAACGAAAGUUAGAGGAUCGAAGGCGAUCAGAUACCGCCCUAGUUUUAACCGUAAACGAUGCUAACUAGUAAUCCGCCGUCGUUAUACCCAUGACGCGGCGGGACACCUCCGGGAAACCUCAAGUCUUUGAGUUCCGGGGGUAGUAUGGUUGCAAAAUUGAAACUUAAAGGAAUUGACGGAAGGGCACCACCAGGAGUGGAGCCUGCGGCUUAAUUUGACUCAACACGGGGAACCUCACCAGGCCCGGACACUAGAAGGACUGACAGAUUAAGAGCUCUUUCUCGAUUGGGUGGAUGGUGGUGCAUGGCCGUUCUUAGUUGGUGGAGUGAUUUGUCUGGUUAAU
RNAcentral lists this ribosomal RNA (1360 nucleotides) under Parastylodactylus sp. BOLD:ACR8590. Its description in RNAcentral is "SSU rRNA". It matches the Rfam family "Eukaryotic small subunit ribosomal RNA", at positions 24 to 1334 of the family's 1831-position model. Lineage: Eukaryota; Metazoa; Arthropoda; Malacostraca; Decapoda; Stylodactylidae. The record is from RNAcentral.